UUAACUCUAAUUUGUAUGGAGUUGGAACGCUUGCCUGCGUUUGCCGCUAGGGGCGCUGUUCCAACUGCAUACAAACUUGAGUUA
Molecule: microRNA precursor, 84 nt
Filed under: Bombyx mori (domestic silkworm)
Lineage: Eukaryota; Metazoa; Arthropoda; Insecta; Lepidoptera; Bombycidae
Description: mir-2807 microRNA precursor family
Rfam family: mir-2807 microRNA precursor family
Source: Rfam by way of RNAcentral